This 2292-nucleotide small RNA is filed under the name Pan troglodytes (chimpanzee). RNAcentral describes it as "retained intron". The record is from RNAcentral. Lineage: Eukaryota; Metazoa; Chordata; Mammalia; Primates; Hominidae.
UUCUUGAGUAGCUGGGACUACAGGCGCAUGCCACCAUGCCCAGCUAAUUUUUGUAUUUUUAGUAGAGAUGGGGUUUCACCUUGUUGGCCAGGAUGGUCUUGAUGUCUUGACCUUGUGAUCCGCCUGCCUCAGCCUCCCAGAGUGCUGGGAUUACAGGCGUGAGCCACUGUGCCCAGCCUAAAACAGUUAUUUUCUUUAAAGUCUUGCUUACUGUUCAGAGGAAAUUGUUUUAUUGUCUCCAGGAAAAUCCAGAAGUAUGGUUCAUCCGACCUGUUUCACCCUCUUUACUGAAAAUUUUGGCCCUGGAAGCUACCUACCUGUUACCCCUUCGCUUGGCACUCCUAGAUGAGAUGAUGUCUGACCUAACCACCCUGGUGGAUGGUUACCUAAACACGUAUCGCGAAGGGUCUGCAGACCGGCUUGGAGGCACUGAGCCUACAUGUAUGGAGCUGCCAGAGGAACUGCUUCAAUUCAAGGACUUCCAGAAGCAGCGCAGGGAGAAAGCUGCAAGAGAAUAUAGGGUGAAUGCACAGGGACUCCUGAUAAGGACAGUGCUACAGCCAAAGAAAUUAGUGACAGAGACAGCAGGGAAAGAGGAGAAAGUCAAAGGCUUCUUAUUUGGUAAAAAUUUUAGGAUAGAUAAAGCUCCAAGUUUUACAUCUCAAGACUUUCACGGGGAUGUGAAUUUACUGAAAGAAGAAUCUUUGAAUAAACAAGCUACAAAUCCUCAACAUCUACCUCCCGCAGAGGAAGGGGAAACCAGUGAGGAUUCCAGUAACAAACUCAUUUGCACAGAGUCAAAGGGGUCAGAGGACCAGAGAAUAACUCAGAAAGAACACUUUAUGACACCCAAACAUGAGUUUCAGGCAAGUUUAUCUUUGAAAGAGGAGACAGAACAGUUAUUGAUGGUGGAAAACAAGGAAGAUUUAAAAUGCACAAAACAGGCUGUUUCAAUGUCUUCCUUUCCUCAGGAAACCAGAGUGUCUCCAAGUGACACUUUUUAUCCUAUCAGAAAGGCUGUGGUUUCCACACUCCCUCCCUGUCCAGCCUUGGAGAAGAUCGAUUCCUGGAUAAGUCCUUUUCUAAAUCUGCCCUAGAGAUGGGCAGUUUGUUCUUAAGGCCAUGCAGAUGGCUUAUUUCCUUUGCCAUCAGGGCUUUCCACAGUGCCCAGGUUUCUCAUGUUGUAAAUGUAGUAAUGCUUCAGUCACAGGAGAAAAUUAUAUCCUCUUGCUUACUCCUGUGUUCCUGGUAUGUGGAGAAUGAGAAUGAAUAUGUUAAAUAAUGGAAGAAGUAUAAUUUCUGAUUAUGUCACUGUGUAGAAAUGUUCUCAGUGACCAGAGUGCAUUAUUUCUCAUAAUUUGGGUUUAGAGGAUUUGAAGAAAGGAAGAAUCUUGGGCUUAGUAUCAGGAAGACUCCAUCAUUUUCAAAUUUUGUUUUGCUUCUUGACUUUUGGAUUCCUUUGAAGAGACCUGGUAAAACUAUUAACAAUUCAUUUUAAAAAUUGGUACCUGAUAACUUUACCAGUACUUUUUUCCUUUUUAUUUAUUUGUUUUAUUUUUUUUUUUUACCACUCCUUGUGGAGCAGGGCUACACCAUAGGCAGUGUGCCCAGAGUAACCACUUUUUUCCUUUUUAAAAUAUAAUAUUAACUUUAUGUUUGAAUGUUGAAUGUUUUGUCUGUCUCUUAGGCAAAUAAUGUUAUAGGAAUCAAUAAUUUAAUUUUUGUUUUAUUUGUUUUUUGAUGGAGUCUCACUCUGUCACCCAGGCUGGAGUGCAGUGGCGUGAUCUCUGCUCACUGCAACCUCCGCCUCCCGGGUUCAAGCAAUUCUCCUGCCUCAGCCUCCUGAGUAGCUGGGAUUACAGGCGCAUGCCACCACGCCUGGCUAAUUUUUGUAUUUUUAGUAGAGAUGGGGUUUCACCAUGUUGGCCAGGCUGGUCUUGAACUCCUGACUGACCUUGUGGUCCACCCGCCUUGGCCUUCCAAAGUGCUGGGAUUACAGGUGUGAGCCACCGUGCCCAGCCAAUAUCUUUAUUUUAAUUUGUUUUUAUUUCCUUUAUUUUUAGCUGGUUUUGUCCAUUUUCCUAACAAAGCAGGGACCCUGGGUUUCUUUUUAGUUUGUCUGUUAUAUAAACUUGAAGUCUGACUCCAUUCUAUUUGCCUGGAGUUAGUAUACUUUCUUAGGUUGAAAGGAAGGCAGCUUGUAUUGAGCCUUUUAAAGUAUUGAAUGCUUGCAAAUUGCUAACAUUCUUUUGUGUAAAAUAACCAAUAAACCUGUUUUGUCAUACUCUACUU